Molecule: non-coding RNA, 150 nt
Organism: Myotis brandtii (Brandt's bat)
Lineage: Eukaryota; Metazoa; Chordata; Mammalia; Chiroptera; Vespertilionidae
Source: Rfam
GGGCUGUCACCUUCUCUGCUGGAAACCAGAGCCUGGCAGAGGCCCAGGGUCUCAUGCUCCGCCCAGUGAUCACCGGUCACUCUGAAAUGAGCUGCCCAUCCUUCUCCCUGCCUUGCCUUUCUGCGGCCGGGCGCCAGGCACUGGCAAGAC